ACUUCGAAUCCCUAGUACGGCGAGUGAAGCGGGAAGAGCUCAAAUUUGAAAUCUGGUAGCCUUCGGUUGCCCGAGUUGUAAUCUAGAGAAGUGUUUUCCGUGCCGGCCCAUGUACAAGUCCCUUGGAACAGGGCGUCAUAGAGGGUGAGAAUCCCGUCCUUGACAUGGACCCCCGGUGCUUUGUGAUACACUUUCAACGAGUCGAGUUGUUUGGGAAUGCAGCUCAAAAUGGGUGGUGAAUUCCAUCUAAAGCUAAAUAUUGGCGAGAGACCGAUAGCGAACAAGUACCGUGAGGGAAAGAUGAAAAGCACUUUGGAAAGAGAGUUAAACAGUACGUGAAAUUGUUGAAAGGGAAACGAUUGAAGUCAGUCAUGCUCUUGGGACUUACCUCCCUUGAGUGGGGUCAACAUCAGUUUUGAUCGAUGGAUAAAGGCACGGGGAAGGUAGCACUCUCGGGUGAACUUAUAGCCUCGCGUCAUAUACAUUGAUUGGGACUGAGGAACGCAGCAUGCCUUUUGGCCGGGAUUCGUCCACGUACAUGCUUAGGAUGUUGACAUAAUGGCUUUAAACGACCCGUCUUGAACAA
This 586-nucleotide ribosomal RNA is filed under the name Naganishia albida. RNAcentral describes it as "partial 26S ribosomal RNA". It matches the Rfam family "Eukaryotic large subunit ribosomal RNA", at positions 68 to 661 of the family's 3401-position model. The record is from RNAcentral. Lineage: Eukaryota; Fungi; Basidiomycota; Tremellomycetes; Filobasidiales; Filobasidiaceae.